CAACAGGUUGAUAUUCCUGUACUACCGAUAACCGUUUGAGAGAUGGGAUGACACAGUAGGAUAAGCUAAGCACACUGUUGGUUAUGUGUGCCCAAGCAUUGAGGCAGUCAGAGUAGGUAAAUCCGCUCUGAUAAUGCUGGGAUGUGAUGGGGAGCGAAAUUUAGUAGCGAAGUAGCUGAUUUCACACUGUCAAGAAAAGUCUCUAUCGAGGUUAAAGGUACCCGUACCGCAAACCGACACAGGUGGGUGAGGAGA
This 255-nucleotide ribosomal RNA is filed under the name Clostridioides difficile. Its description in RNAcentral is "partial 23S ribosomal RNA". It matches the Rfam family "Bacterial large subunit ribosomal RNA", at positions 1422 to 1675 of the family's 2925-position model. Lineage: Bacteria; Bacillati; Bacillota; Clostridia; Peptostreptococcales; Peptostreptococcaceae. The record is from RNAcentral.